AUGCAACAACUUAUACUAGUGGCUAUCUGUGGCAUCUUACCAAAAAACAUAAGGGUGACUAUAACCAGAUCGUGCUUAUUCUUCAAUGUUAUAUGUAGUAAAGUUAUAGAUACUGUAAAUUUAGAAGAAUUGGAACACCAAGCUACAAUUAUCUUGUGCCAGUUAGAGAUGUUCUUCCCUCCAUCAUUCUUUAACGUUAUGGUUCACUUAGUUAUUUAUAUAGUAAGAGAGAUUAGAAUUUGUGGUCCAGUAUAUUUGCGAUAG
Non-coding RNA from Vicia faba (fava bean), 264 nucleotides. Lineage: Eukaryota; Viridiplantae; Streptophyta; Magnoliopsida; Fabales; Fabaceae. The record is from the annotation of a GenBank genome assembly.